GCGGCCAUAGUCUAGUCUGGUUAUGAUUCCAGCCUUCCAAGCUGGCAACCCGGGUUCGAAUCCCGGUGGCCGCACCA
Molecule: transfer RNA, 77 nt
Filed under: Candidatus Thorarchaeota archaeon
Lineage: Archaea; Promethearchaeati; Candidatus Thorarchaeota
Also listed under: 1 other name
Description: tRNA-Gly
Rfam family: tRNA
About the family: Transfer RNA (tRNA) molecules are approximately 80 nucleotides in length. Their secondary structure includes four short double-helical elements and three loops (D, anti-codon, and T loops).
Source: RNAcentral